GCACUGCUGAAGAGUCCCAUACUAGGACGAAACGGCCGUCCAAUGC
Schistosoma margrebowiei is the source of this 46-nucleotide non-coding RNA. The record is from Rfam. Lineage: Eukaryota; Metazoa; Platyhelminthes; Trematoda; Strigeidida; Schistosomatidae.